This 228-nucleotide small RNA is filed under the name Mycobacterium parmense. RNAcentral's name for it is "Magnesium sequence". It matches the Rfam family "M-box riboswitch aptamer (ykoK leader)". From Rfam's summary of the family: M-box riboswitch, also know as ykoK leader is described as a metaloregulatory RNA that sense divalent metals and function as a genetic control element of genes related to divalent metal transport in bacteria. Lineage: Bacteria; Bacillati; Actinomycetota; Actinomycetes; Mycobacteriales; Mycobacteriaceae. The record is from Rfam by way of RNAcentral.
CAAGCACCUCGGUAGGUGAGGCGUCUGCACGGACACAGGCCACUGACCCCGAACGUCGAGAGACGCCCCGGGUCAGGACAGCUCUUCCCGGACCCAAGGGUUGAGCCCAAGUGGCUUCCGGACGAGGAGCGAUCGCAAGCGCGGCGACGCCGGGCGCGGCGGGUCGCGACCAUAGAUCAAGUCCGGAUACGCCGUGCAGUGCCGAAGCUCCGACGAGAGGGGUGUGGC